GAUGAACGCUGGCGGCGUGCCUAAUACAUGCAAGUCGAGCGAACAGACGAGGAGCUUGCUCCUCUGACGUUAGCGGCGGACGGGUGAGUAACACGUGGAUAACCUACCUAUAAGACUGGGAUAACUUCGGGAAACCGGAGCUAAUACCGGAUAAUAUAUUGAACCGCAUGGUUCAAUAGUGAAAGACGGUUUUGCUGUCACUUAUAGAUGGAUCCGCGCCGCAUUAGCUAGUUGGUAAGGUAACGGCUUACCAAGGCGACGAUGCGUAGCCGACCUGAGAGGGUGAUCGGCCACACUGGAACUGAGCCCCGGUCCAGACUCCUACGGGAGGCAGCAGUAGGGAAUCUUCCGCAAUGGGCGAAAGCCUGACGGAGCAACGCCGCGUGAGUGAUGAAGGUCUUCGGGUCGUAAAACUCUGUUAUUAGGGAGGAACAAAUGUGUAAGUAACUAUGCACGUCUUGACGGUACCUAAUCAGAAAGCCACGGCUAACUACGU
Molecule: ribosomal RNA, 496 nt
Filed under: uncultured bacterium
Lineage: Bacteria
Description: partial 16S ribosomal RNA
Rfam family: Bacterial small subunit ribosomal RNA
Source: RNAcentral